Molecule: long non-coding RNA, 411 nt
Filed under: Oryza brachyantha (malo sina)
Lineage: Eukaryota; Viridiplantae; Streptophyta; Magnoliopsida; Poales; Poaceae
Description: long non-coding RNA (OBRA_LNC003069)
Source: RNAcentral
GAGGAGGAGGAGGGGAAGGAGGCGCGCGCGGAGAGGGGGAGCCGGAGCGAGGCGGUGGCGGUGGCGGCGGAGGGGGAGGUCGCCAUGGCUGUGGAUGAGGCGGCGGCGACGCGUGUGGGUUGGUGAAGGUGGAUUAAUUGUUUUGGUUCUUUUCUUUUUUAUUUUUUCCGUUGACGAAUGGGCUGGGCUUGACGACGACGGCCCACGGAGUGAAGCGGAGGAAAGGCCCACAAUGACAUGGAGUGGUGAUAAUCCCGCCCAUUAUUACAUUAUUAAUUCCGUGUUAUAAGAUUUUCCGGAUGUGUCAUAUACUCGCUCUGGUCAAAAAUAUACUUGAGCUCUGGUGCAAUAGCUGGACCUGGACAUGAUUUAUAUUGUGUAUUAAUUGUGGAAUCCCGUGUUAUAAUAUUU